Molecule: ribosomal RNA, 400 nt
Filed under: uncultured bacterium
Lineage: Bacteria
Description: bacterial SSU rRNA
Rfam family: Bacterial small subunit ribosomal RNA
Source: RNAcentral
UCGAGAAUCUUUCGCAAUGGGCGCAAGCCUGACGAAGCGACUCUGUGUGAGCGAUGAAGGCCUUUGGGUUGUAAAGCUCUUUCGGUUAGGAACAAGAGAGGCGAGUUAAUAACUUGCUAAUUUGAGCGUACUAGCUAAAGAAGCACCGGCUAACUCCGUGCCAGCAGCUGCGGUAAUACGGAGGGUGCAAGCAUUAAUCGGAUUUACUGGGCGUAAAGGGCGCGUAGGCGGAAUCGCAAGUCAGAUGUGAAAUUCUGGUACUCAAUACCAGAGCUGCAUCUGAAACUGCGAAUCUAGAGGGUAGGCGGAGAAAACGGAAUUCCACGUGUAGCGGUGAAAUGCGUAGAUAUGUGGAAGAACACCUGUGGCGUAAGCGGUUUUCUAGCUUAUUUACUGACGC